Molecule: ribosomal RNA, 2900 nt
Filed under: Clostridioides difficile
Lineage: Bacteria; Bacillati; Bacillota; Clostridia; Peptostreptococcales; Peptostreptococcaceae
Description: bacterial LSU rRNA
Rfam family: Bacterial large subunit ribosomal RNA
Source: RNAcentral
UGGUCAAGUUAUUAAGGGUGCAGGGCGGAUGCCUUGGCACUAGGAGCCGAUGAAGGACGUGAUAAGCUGCGAUAAGCUUCGGGGAGUUGCACGUAAACUUUGAUCCGAAGAUUUCCGAAUGAGGAAACUCACUUAGAGUAAUGUCUAAGUAUCAUUAAGUGAAUACAUAGCUUAAUGAGGGGAACUCAGGGAACUGAAACAUCUAAGUACCUGAAGGAAGAGAAAGAAAUUCGAUUCCGUAAGUAGCGGCGAGCGAACGCGGAUUAGCCCAAACCAAUAAAGUUUUCUUUAUUGGGGUUGCGGACAUAUCAUAACGAAGAGGUAUCGUAAUUGAAGAGGUUUGGAAAGACCCACCACAGAAGGUAAUAGUCCUGUAUGUUAAACGAGAAGACUUUAGAUAUGAUCCAGAGUACCACGGGACACGUGAAACCCUGUGGGAAGCAGGAGGGACCACCCUCCAAGGCUAAAUACUACCUAGUGACCGAUAGCGUAUAGUACCGUGAGGGAAAGGUGAAAAGAACCCCGGGAGGGGAGUGAAAUAGAACCUGAAACCCUGCACUUACAAGCUGUGGAAGCACAUUUCUUGUGUGACCGCGUACUUUUUGUAGAACGGGCCAACGAGUUACGUUAAGUAGCAAGGUUAAGCACUUAAGGUGCGGAGCCGUAGCGAAAGCGAGUUUUAACUGAGCGUUCAGUUACUUGACGUAGACCCGAAACCGGGCGACCUACCCAUGAGCAGGAUGAAGCGAAAGUAAAAUUUCGUGGAGGUCCGAACCCACGAGCGUUGAAAAGCUCGGGGAUGACUUGUGGGUAGCGGUGAAAUUCCAAUCGAGCCCGGAGAUAGCUGGUUCUCCCCGAAAUAGCUUUAGGGCUAGCCUCAAGGUGAGAGAUACGGAGGUAGAGCACUGAAUGUCCUAGGGGGUAUUGCACCUACCGAAGACUAUCAAACUCCGAAUGCCGUCAUCUUAUACUUGGGAGUCAGACUGUGGGUGAUAAGAUUCAUAGUCGAAAGGGCAACAGCCCAGAUCGUCAGCUAAGGUCCCUAAAUGUAAGUUAAGUGGUAAAGGAUGUGGGAUUGCACAGACAACCAGGAUGUUGGCUUAGAAGCAGCCACUCAUUCAAAGAGUGCGUAAUAGCUCACUGGUCGAGUGAUCCUGCGCCGAAGAUUUCCGGGGCUAAAACUUACUACCGAAGCUACGGCAUCAGUAAUGAUGGGUAGGGGAGCUUCCCAUACGGGUUGAAGCAUGACCGUAAGGACAUGUGGACAGUAUGGGAGUGAGAAUGUUGGCAUGAGUAGCGAGAUGUGGGUGGGAAUCCCACAGGCCGUAAACCCAAGGUUUCCAGGGGAAGGUUCGUCCGCCCUGGGUUAGUCGGGACCUAAGCUGAGGCCGAAAGGCGUAGGUGAUGGACAACAGGUUGAUAUUCCUGUACUACCGAUAACCGUUUGAGAGAAGGGAUGACACAGUAGGAUAAGCUAAGCACACUGUUGGUUAUGUGUGCCCAAGCAUUGAGGCAGUCAAAGUAGGCAAAUCCGCUUUGAUAAUGCUGGGAUGUGAUGGGGAGCGAAAUUUAGUAGCGAAGUAGCUGAUUUCACACUGUCAAGAAAAGUCUCUAUCGAGGUUAAAGGUACCCGUACCGCAAACCGACACAGGUGGGUGAGGAGAGUAUCCUAAGGCCAGCGAGAGAACUGUUGUUAAGGAACUCGGCAAAAUGACCCCGUAACUUAGGGAUAAGGGGUGCCACCAUCAGGUGGCCGCAGAGAAUAGGCCCAAGCGACUGUUUACCAAAAACAUAGGUUUCUGCUAAGUCGCAAGACGAUGUAUAGGAGCUGACGCCUGCCCGGUGCUGGAAGGUUAAGGGGAUCUGUUAGAGCAAUCGAAGCAGUGAACUUAAGCCCCAGUAAACGGCGGCCGUAACUAUAACGGUCCUAAGGUAGCGAAAUUCCUUGUCGGGUAAGUUCCGACCCGCACGAAAGGCGUAACGAUUUGGGCACUGUCUCAACAACAGACUCGGUGAAAUUGUAAUUCCGGUGAAGAUGCCGGAUACCUGCGACAGGACGGAAAGACCCCAUGGAGCUUUACUGUAGCUUGACAUUGGGUCUUGGUACUACAUGUACAGGAUAGGUGGGAGGCUUUGAAACCAGGACGCCAGUUUUGGCGGAGCCAUCCUUGGGAUACCACCCUUGUAGUACUGGGACUCUAACCAUAGGCCAUGAAUCUGGUCUUGGGACACUGUCAGGUGGGCAGUUUGACUGGGGCGGUCGCCUCCCAAAAGGUAACGGAGGCGCUCAAAGGUUCUCUCAGUACGGUCGGAAAUCGUACGUAGAGUGUAAAGGCAAAAGAGAGCUUGAUUGCAAGACAUACAGGUCGAGCAAGGAUGAAAAUCGGACUUAGUGAUCCGGUGGUUCUGCGUGGAAGGGCCAUCGCUCAACGGAUAAAAGCUACCCUGGGGAUAACAGGCUUAUCUCCCCCAAGAGUCCACAUCGACGGGGAGGUUUGGCACCUCGAUGUCGGCUCAUCACAUCCUGGGGCUGUAGUAGGUCCCAAGGGUUGGGCUGUUCGCCCAUUAAAGUGGUACGCGAGCUGGGUUCAGAACGUCGUGAGACAGUUCGGUCCCUAUCCGUCGCAGGCGUAGGAAAUUUGAGAAGACCUGUCCUUAGUACGAGAGGACCGGGAUGGACGUACCUCUGGUGUACCAGUUGUUCUGCCAAGGGCAUGGCUGGGUAGCUAUGUACGGAAUGGAUAAGCGCUGAAAGCAUCUAAGCGCGAAGCCAACUUCAAGAUAAGAUUUCCCACCGCAAGGGUAAGACCCCAGAAAGACUAUCUGGUUGAUAGGUCGAAGGUGUAAGUGCAGCAAUGUAUUUAGCUUAUCGAUACUAAUAGGUCGAGGACUUGACCAAU